GUGAACGCUGGCGGUAGGCCUAACACAUGCAAGUCGAACGGCAGCACAGUAAGAGCUUGCUCUUACGGGUGGCGAGUGGCGGACGGGUGAGGAAUACAUCGGAAUCUACUUUUUCGUGGGGGAUAACGUAGGGAAACUUACGCUAAUACCGCAUACGACCUACGGGUGAAAGCAGGGGAUCUUCGGACCUUGCGCGAUUGAAUGAGCCGAUGUCGGAUUAGCUAGUUGGCGGGGUAAAGGCCCACCAAGGCGACGAUCCGUAGCUGGUCUGAGAGGAUGAUCAGCGACACUGGAACUGUGACACGGUCCAGACCCCGAAGGGAGGCAGCAGUGGGGAAUAUUAGACAGUGGGCGCAAGCAUGAUCCAGUCAUGCCGAGUGGGUGAAGAAGGCCUUCGGAUGGUAAAUCUCUUUUGUUAGGAAAGAAAAGAAGCAGAAGGUAACCCCGAUGUUCUGACGGUACCCAAAGAGUAAGCACCGGCUAACUUCGUG
Molecule: ribosomal RNA, 491 nt
Filed under: uncultured bacterium
Lineage: Bacteria
Description: partial 16S ribosomal RNA
Rfam family: Bacterial small subunit ribosomal RNA
Source: RNAcentral